This 342-nucleotide unclassified non-coding RNA is filed under the name Basidiomycota sp. RNAcentral describes it as "partial contains small subunit ribosomal RNA, internal transcribed spacer 1, and 5.8S ribosomal RNA". The stretch from base 1 to 47 matches the Rfam family "Eukaryotic small subunit ribosomal RNA", at positions 1785 to 1831 of the family's 1831-position model. The record is from RNAcentral. Lineage: Eukaryota; Fungi; Basidiomycota.
AAAGUCGUAACAAGGUUUCCGUAGGUGAACCUGCGGAAGGAUCAUUAACGAAUAAACUUGGUGGACUGUUGCUGGCUCCUCUGGGGGCAUGUGCACGUCUGUCAUCUUUAUCUUUCCACCUGUGCACUUUGUGUAGAACUUGGGAGACCAUCUAACUUUUCUGAGGCAACUCAGUUGUGAGGAUUUGCAGGCACCUGCGUAGGGGGUCAGCUUUCCUUGGAGGGGUUACCCAAGGCUCUAUGUUUUUCACAUACACCGAAUGAAAUGUAAUAGAAUGUAGUCCAUGGGUCUUUGCACCUAUAUAAAGUUAUACAACUUUCAGCAACGGAUCUCUUGGCUCUC